Molecule: long non-coding RNA, 1912 nt
Organism: Gambusia affinis (western mosquitofish)
Lineage: Eukaryota; Metazoa; Chordata; Actinopteri; Cyprinodontiformes; Poeciliidae
Exons: 4
Source: RefSeq, a predicted model, not a curated record
UCACGAUGAGGGGUCUGAUCGCAUUCACCGCUCUGUUUGUUGCUGUUCUUGCCAAGGAGACCUUUGAGGGCUGCAGCUCUCAUGAAACACAAGAUUUAGACUUGAUUCUAGUUUCAAACCACCAGAACUUGACACGUUGAAGGCUUGAAACCUGACCAACACACAGAACAGGAGUACAAGGAGAUCAGAAAAAGCCUUCAAAACCAUCAACCCACUUACUGGGGAACUGGAUUCUGGACUUCCUGACCAACAGACCACAGACUGUCAGGAUCCACAACACCAUCUCCUCCUCCAUCUCAGGGGAUGUACAUCCUCUGAUGUAGUCCACCUCUACAUCCUCCACAUCCUCUGAUGUACAGGGGAUGUACAUCAGCUGUGGAGGUGGUCUCCAGCUACAGUAAUGGAGAGCGUUCUCUGUCUGCAUCACCAUGUGGCCCAGCAGCUGCACUAGUGCUGAAAGGAUGAGUCUGCAGAUGUUGGUGUAGGUGUUCAAGGCUGCACAGAGGACUGUGGGGAGCUGCCUUUCUUCCUCACCUCAGACCUCUACACAGCACGAUGCAGGAGGAGGACGCUCUUCAUCAAAAAGGACUCCUAUAGGGGAAUUUUUUUGCUAUAAUCCAAGUUCACACAUGUUCAGUCUAAAAGCAGGAUUUCAUGUCAUUUGUUCUCAAAACUUUAAUACUUUUAUUUACAUGUUCAUUUUAAAAGCAGAAGUUCAUGUCUCAAAACUUGUAACACUUGUAUUCAAAGCUUCUUCUCGUAAUCAGAUUUAGACUCUGCUCGGACUCUCUGCUCGCUUACCAAACAUGGCACAGUCGUGGCACAGUCACCUAGCAACCUCUCAGCCAAUAGAAUGAGAGUGUUGUGCUGGGUGUGCUUGGUUCCUUCUAGUGGGUGUGUCUGUGUGGCUGCUAUUGAUUGUAGCAGAAGCCUCAGCACUGCCACUGCCAGAUAUUUUUGUUCAUUUCAACAGACUAUUAUGUGAGAUCUCGGGAGACAACGUUUUAUAAAUUCAGCACUGUACUGUAUUUAUGUCCACCGUCAAAAAAACAGCUAAUAUUAUCUAUAGUGCUUGGUGUGAUACCGGGGUUCAGCCCUAUGAAUGCUAACCAAGAUUUUGUAAAUCUUAAAAAGUUUUAAUUAUUCCCUAACAUUGAUUUAGACUAUGUGACACAAAGUGGCAAAGACUGUUAUUUAUAGGUAAUUGUUUCACUGUCUAAAGUAAGAUAGAUUCUGAUUUUAUUUUGAAGGUUUUAUAAAGACAUGAUGUGAGGAAGAAGAGGGAAACGUGUUUAAAGAGAGACGGAUUCACUGCUGAUGAAUCUCAGCUGCUGAAUCUCUUAAGCUACAACUCCUCGGCUGGAAAACAUGAAUAAAACUUAUAUAGAUAUUAUGUAUAUACGCAUGUGUAUAUAAAUAUGUGUAGUUUAAAACAUGUUAUUCAGUAUUAAUCAUUAUUUAAAGCUCUUUCUUUCUCUAUGAUUGUAUUAUUUUGUGUUUGUAUAAAUAUGUAUUGAUAUUACUAAAUAAUAUAUUCCUUCACCCAACCAAAGACAACAAAGUCACAACAUAUCUAGCUCUUGGAUUAUGGCAGGAAAUUCCACCAAGCGAUCAGAGUAUUUUGAUCAAAGAUUUGCUCUGAGCAGAGACUCAGUGUGAUUGUGAGAGGUUUUUAGUGCAAUCAUUACAAGUUUUGAGAAUAAAGACAUGAAGUUCUGCUCUCAAAAUAUACAUGUAAGCAAAAGUAUUAAAAGUUUUGAGAACAAAACACAUGAAAUCCUGCUUCAGAUAGAACAUGUGUGCUUUUGGAUUAUGGCAGAUAAAAUCCCCCAUAGAGUUUUGGGCCUUUGUGGGAGUUGUUGGAUAUGGUGAAAUAAUGAUUCCAAUCAAUAAAGUUUACCUGUAUAACACA